UUUCCGUAGGUGAACCUGCGGAAGGAUCAUUAUUGAGUAACAGAGGUGCGAGCCCUGUCGCUGACCCCAAAGUCUGUUCACGCCCCAUUGCCCUGGCACACCCGCAGCCCCCCACUAUGUGCACCACCGCGUCUGUCCCCCUGUGGCUUGCUCGGCGGGGGGCUUACCUUUUAACACAAAAAUUGUACGCAGUGUAGAAUGUAUUUUAUGAUUUUGUUAAACCACAAUUAACACCACUUUCAACAUCGGAUCUCUUGGCGCUGGCAUCGACGACAAACC
RNAcentral lists this unclassified non-coding RNA (279 nucleotides) under plant metagenome. Its description in RNAcentral is "partial contains small subunit ribosomal RNA, internal transcribed spacer 1, and 5.8S ribosomal RNA". The record is from RNAcentral.